GUGAUAUCCAGGUGAUGGGCGGCCAGAGAGCUGAGUUGUGCAGGCAAGAGGGACUCUGCUGGCCUUGGUGUGGUCAGCCCCCUCCUUGCAGGAUCCAAGGAGGGAGGCAAUAGACAUACAAUUCAUUGUAACGAUGUAUGGUGUCCAUGCUGCAGGACAGAUCACCCCCCUCAGCUAUAAUCAUGUAUUGCCUCACAUGAUUCUUUUCCCAGAAGGUUCAUUUAAUACAUGGAGAGGGAACGUUUAUUCUGAUUUUUCUGAGGUAAACCACCUCACACGCAUACAGCUUGCCAUUGUUAGGACCCAUGCAAGAGGGCAGGAGGGCAUGGGAGAAUAGACAUGCAAUCCAUGAACAUGCACAACUGAUAUGAAGGUUCUCCAGGUUAUUAGUCCACACAUGCUAUAGCCAAACCAGAACGCAUCAAAUGUGAUCUUGCUUUUCAAGUGUCAGGCUACUGGAGUGGAAGAGACGAGCAGAUUAGAGGAUGAAGGCCCUAGAGGUAAGGACAAUAAUUGACACUCAAUCAUGUCAAUAUAAAGCAUAUCACUUGAAGUACACUCACCAAUGAUAUUUUGUUCUUGAGUAAUUGAAGAUGAGGUCACAUUCUGGCAGGUGGAAGUAGUGCAAGCCUCAAGAUUCCUAUUCAGUUUAGUUCAUUUUGUGUACAUUGGUGUUGAUUUCCUCGACUUGCAUGUAGAUUUUUAAUAAAUAAAUACUCCUAGAAUUUAACCUUUCAAAAUAAAACCCCAUAGGCAACUGAACCAUGCAAUGGUUUUUGCGCAGCUCAACUUCAGUUAUCAGAUUGAAUAACAAACGAUACUAAAUAACCAAGGGAAAGGUCAUUUGAAACCCCAUUUAUUCAAAAUGAAACAUUUCACUAUCACCUUUCAAUGUUGCUCCUAUGGUAACAUGACAUAACAUUCAGGAGCUCAAACGAUUAGUAGGAGCAGAGGAACUUGUGAAUUUGUCAGGGUUUAUGUAGCCUAUACAUUGUCACAUUUUUUUCUUGGUAGAGUGGGUUAAUAUGAUUAUGAUGCAGUUUCUUAUGAUAUAGUUUUCAAGUCCAUUUCAUGAUUGGAGCAUUUCUGUGUUGACAUUUAGAACAUUCAUCCUUUAAACUCUUGUUCUGCUUAUUUGGUCAUAUGUUGCUGGGAAUUCUAUUUGUAAGCUGAUCAUUGAGUGUUUAGAGUUCAUGUUUAGCAGGUCUAAUGUUAUGUAUCAGACAAAAAAAAG
Molecule: long non-coding RNA, 1234 nt
Organism: Sorghum bicolor (sorghum)
Lineage: Eukaryota; Viridiplantae; Streptophyta; Magnoliopsida; Poales; Poaceae
Exons: 3
Source: RefSeq, a predicted model, not a curated record